This 329-nucleotide ribosomal RNA is filed under the name uncultured eukaryote. Its description in RNAcentral is "partial 18S ribosomal RNA". It matches the Rfam family "Eukaryotic small subunit ribosomal RNA", at positions 1470 to 1796 of the family's 1831-position model. The record is from RNAcentral.
CCCUUAGAUGUUCUGGGCCGCACGCGCGCUACACUGAUGCAUUCAACGAGUCUAAAACCUGCUCUGAUAGGGGUGGGUAAUCUUUUGAAUGUGCAUCGUGAUUGGGAUAGAUGAUUGUAAUUUUUCAUCUUCAACGAGGAAUGCCUAGUAAACGCAAGUCAUCAGCUUGCAUUGAUUACGUCCCUGCCCUUUGUACACACCGCCCGUCGCUCCUACCGAUUGAAUGAUCCGAUGAAUAUCAUGGAUUGAGGAUGCAAGCAGGUUCGCCUGUCUUCAUCUUCGAGAAGUGAAGUAAAUCUUAUCAUUUAGAGGAAGGAGAAGUCGUAACA